GGGUAAUCUGCCGUGAAGUUGGGGAUAACCCCGAGAAAUCGGGACUAAUACCGAAUGUGAUGAUUCCAGGGCAUCCUGGAAUCCUUAAAGCUGGGGACCGUAAGGCCUGGCGCUUCAUGAUGAGCCCGCGGCCUAUCAGCUAGUUGGCGGGGUAACGGCCCACCAAGGCAAUGACGGGUAGCUGGUCUGAGAGGACGACCAGCCACACUGGAACUGAGACACGGUCCAG
Molecule: ribosomal RNA, 229 nt
Filed under: uncultured bacterium
Lineage: Bacteria
Description: partial 16S ribosomal RNA
Rfam family: Bacterial small subunit ribosomal RNA
Source: RNAcentral